CACUUGGAGGAUGUAUAGCAAUAGCUACUUGCAUCAUCCUUUUCUCAUUUUAUUCUUCUCGUUUUCUUCUUUUUAAGAAGAAAAUGAGAAGAAUAAAAGUAGAGAAAAGUAAAGAUGAUGCAAGAUCGACUAUGUCGAAUAAAAUUCUAGGUAGAAUUAUGAUAAUGACAUUGUCUGCCUAUGUGUCUUGACCAAAUUACGUGCCAGCAGUCGCGGUAAUACGUAGAAGACUAGUGUUAUUCAUGUUUAAUCGGUUUAAAGGGUACCUAGACGGUAAAUCAAGCUUUCAAAGAAAAACAAGACAAAAUUGAUAGUAUAGUGAUAAUUAAAGGACUAAUUUACUAGAGUUACUUAUGAGGGGGUAUUAAAGUACUGCUGGUGUAGAGAUGAAAUUCUGUCAUACCUCUUUUCAAAAGAAAAAUGAUGGCACAGGUAUAGGCGAAGGCAUCCCC
RNAcentral lists this ribosomal RNA (452 nucleotides) under Parmelia serrana. RNAcentral describes it as "SSU rRNA". Lineage: Eukaryota; Fungi; Ascomycota; Lecanoromycetes; Lecanorales; Parmeliaceae. The record is from RNAcentral.